This 481-nucleotide ribosomal RNA is filed under the name uncultured bacterium. Its description in RNAcentral is "partial 16S ribosomal RNA". It matches the Rfam family "Bacterial small subunit ribosomal RNA", at positions 28 to 507 of the family's 1533-position model. The record is from RNAcentral.
GAUGAACGCUGGCGGCGUGCUUAACACAUGCCAGUCGAACGAAGCAUUUGCGACAGAUUUUUUCGGAAUGAAGUUGCUUAUGACUGAGUGGCGGACGGGUGAGUAACGCGUGGGUAACCUGCCUUGUACUGGGGGAUAGCAGCUGGAAACGGCUGGUAAUACCGCAUAAGCGCACAAUGUUGCAUGACAUGGUGUGAAAAACUCCGGUGGUAUAAGAUGGACCCGCGUCUGAUUAGCUAGUUGGUGAGAUAACAGCCCACCAAGGCGACGAUCAGUAGCCGAGCUGAGAGGGUGACCGGCCACAUUGGGGCUGAGACACAGCCCAGACUCCUACGGGAGGCAGCAGUGGGGAAUAUUGCACAAUGGAGGAAACUCUGAUGCAGCGACGCCGCGUGAGUGAAGAAGUAAUUCGUUAUGUAAAGCUCUAUCAGCAGGGAAGAUAGUGACGGUACCUGACGAAGAAGCACCGGCUAAAUACGUG